AGUGAACGCUGGCGGUAGGCCUAACACAUGCAAGUCGAACGGCAGCACAGUAAGAGCUUGCUCUUACGGGUGGCGAGUGGCGGACGGGUGAGGAAUACAUCGGAAUCUACUUUUUCGUGGGGGAUAACGUAGGGAAACUUACGCUAAUACCGCAUACGACCUACGGGUGAAAGCAGGGGAUCUUCGGACCUUGCGCGAUUGAAUGAGCCGAUGGCGGAUUAGCUAGGUGGCGGGGUAAAGGCCCACCAAGGCGACGAUCGGUAGCCGGCCUGAGAGGAUGAACGGCCACAGUGGGACUGAGAUACGGCCCAGACUCCGACGGGAGGCAGCAGUGGGGAAUAUUGCACAAUGGGCGGAAGCCUGAUGCAGCGACGCCGCGUGGGGGAUGACGGCCGUCGGGUUGUAAACUCCUUUCGCUAGGGACGAAGCUGUUGUGACGGGACCUGGAGAAGAAGCACCGGCUAACUACGUG
RNAcentral lists this ribosomal RNA (472 nucleotides) under uncultured bacterium. RNAcentral's name for it is "partial 16S ribosomal RNA". It matches the Rfam family "Bacterial small subunit ribosomal RNA", at positions 30 to 507 of the family's 1533-position model. The record is from RNAcentral.